This 253-nucleotide ribosomal RNA is filed under the name uncultured bacterium. RNAcentral describes it as "partial 16S ribosomal RNA". It matches the Rfam family "Bacterial small subunit ribosomal RNA", at positions 524 to 776 of the family's 1533-position model. The record is from RNAcentral.
UACGUAGGAGGCAAGCGUUGUCCGGAGUUACUGGGCGUAAAGCGCACGCAGGCGGUCUCUUUAGUCUGUAGGGACAGGGCACAGCUUAACUGUGUCAGGCUUACGGAAACUGGGAGACUUGAGGGCUUCAGAGGGAUGGGGAAUUCCGGGUGGAGUGGUGAAAUGCGUAGAGAUCCGGAAGAACACCAAAGGCGAAGGCACCAUCCUGGGGAGUCACUGACGCUCGGGUGCGAAAGCCAGGGGAGCGAACGGG